Schizophyllum amplum is the source of this 89-nucleotide non-coding RNA. The record is from the annotation of a GenBank genome assembly. Lineage: Eukaryota; Fungi; Basidiomycota; Agaricomycetes; Agaricales; Schizophyllaceae.
GGCACAAUGGCCGAGUGGUUAAGGCGUGAGACUUGAAUUAUUCAACAUCUCAUCCCCUCCUCCGCCCACCUUCGUUUUUGGCUAUGACA